GACAGAGGUGCCAAGCGUUAGGCGGAAUCACUGGGCUUAAAGCGUGUGUAGGUGGAUGCCUAAGUGCCUUGUGAAAUCCCACGGCUCAACCGUGGAAUUGCUGGGCAUACUGGGUGUCUUGAGCCAUCCAGGGGUCGCUGGAACAAACGGUGGAGCGGUGAAAUGCGUAGAUAUCGUUUGGAACGCCAAUGGUGAAAACAGGCGACUGGGGAUGAGCUGACACUGAGACACGAAAGCCAUGGGAGCAAACGGG
This 253-nucleotide ribosomal RNA is filed under the name uncultured bacterium. RNAcentral describes it as "partial 16S ribosomal RNA". It matches the Rfam family "Bacterial small subunit ribosomal RNA", at positions 524 to 776 of the family's 1533-position model. The record is from RNAcentral.